RNAcentral lists this ribosomal RNA (434 nucleotides) under uncultured bacterium. Its description in RNAcentral is "partial 16S ribosomal RNA". It matches the Rfam family "Bacterial small subunit ribosomal RNA", at positions 29 to 507 of the family's 1533-position model. The record is from RNAcentral.
AGCGAACGCUGGCGGCAGGCCUAACACAUGCAAGUCGAACGAACCUUUCGGGGUUAGUGGCGGACGGGUGAGUAACACGUGGGAACGUGCCUUUAGGUUCGGAAUAACUCAGGGAAACGUGUGCUAAUACCGAAUGUGCCCUUCGGGGGAAAGAUUUAUCGCCUUUAGAGCGGCCCGCGUCUGAUUAGCUAGUUGGUUGAGGUAAUGGCUCACCAAGGCGACGAUCAGUAGCUGGUCUGGGAGGAUGAUCAGCCACAUUGGGACUGAGACACGGCCCAAACUCCUACGGGAGGCAGCAGUGGGGAAUCUUGCGCCAUGGGCGAAAGCCUGACGCAGCCAUGCCGCGUGAAUGAUGAAGGUCUUAGGAUUGUAAAAUUCUUUCACCGGGGACGAUAAUGACGGUACCCGGAGAAGAAGCCCCGGCUAACUUCGUG